CCCUUAGAUGUUCUGGGCUGCACGCGUGCUACAAUGGCGCUUGCAACAAGUCUUGCCAACCCGAUAGGGUGAGCGGAUCUUUGAAGAGGCGUCGUGAUCGGGACAGUUGAUUGCAGUUAUUCGACUCGAACGAGGAAUUCCUUGUAAUCGCGAUUCAUCAUAUCGCGCUGAAUACGUCCCUGCCCUUUGUACACACCGCCCGUCGCUCCUACCGAUUGAGCGAUCCGGUGAAUGUUUUGGACUGGCGUCAGAAGCGGUUCGCUCCUGACACUACGAAAUUUUGUAAACCUUAUCGCUUAGAGGAAGGAAAAGUCGUAACA
RNAcentral lists this ribosomal RNA (320 nucleotides) under uncultured eukaryote. Its description in RNAcentral is "partial 18S ribosomal RNA". It matches the Rfam family "Eukaryotic small subunit ribosomal RNA", at positions 1470 to 1796 of the family's 1831-position model. The record is from RNAcentral.